This 490-nucleotide ribosomal RNA is filed under the name uncultured bacterium. RNAcentral's name for it is "partial 16S ribosomal RNA". It matches the Rfam family "Bacterial small subunit ribosomal RNA", at positions 30 to 507 of the family's 1533-position model. The record is from RNAcentral.
AUUGAACGCUGGCGGCAGGCCUAACACAUGCAAGUCGAACGGUAACAGGAAGAAGCUUGCUUCUUUGCUGACGAGUGGCGGACGGGUGAGUAAUGUCUGGGAAACUGCCUGAUGGAGGGGGAUAACUACUGGAAACGGUAGCUAAUACCGCAUAAUGUCGCAAGACCAAAGAGGGGGACCUUCGGGCCUCUUGCCAUCGGAUGUGCCCAGAUGGGAUUAGCUAGUAGGUGGGGUAACGGCUCACCUAGGCGACGAUCCCUAGCUGGUCUGAGAGGAUGACCAGCCACACUGGAACUGAGACACGGUCCAGACUCCUACGGGAGGCAGCAGUGGGGAAUAUUGCACAAUGGGCGCAAGCCUGAUGCAGCUAUGCCGCGUGUAUGAAGAAGGCCUUCGGGUUGUAAAGUACUUUCAGCGGGGAGGAAGGGAGUAAAGUUAAUACCUUUGCUCAUUGACGUUACCAGCAGAAGAAGCACCGGCUAACUCCGUG